AUGGGUCCCCUGGAAGAAGGGGAUGUGCCCACUUCCAAAGGGGCUGCAGCACGAGGGGAGCUGGAGGAGGAAAAAUCCAGCUUUACUCCAAACCCGCCUGCGUGGCACCUGGGGCAGUGGCACGCCGCCAGCACCGGGUUCCUCUGGGUGCGCGGAGGCGAAGCUGAGCAGGAGUGGAAGGAAAAGCUCUGGCUAAGGAGCGCGCUGCCUGUCCGCCCGGCAAUUCCAUCAGUAGCUGGCAAAGGAAGGAGCCUGCUAAAGGAACAAACACGGCUCAGGUGUAACAUGCAGCGAGGAGAAACCCUGGUGGAGGUGGGUGGCAUCCAUGGGGCAGAGCACCGUCUGCUUGGGCUUGGCCCCCGGGGGACGAGGGGUGGCUCUGGUGGGAGCCGAAAUGGCCCCGGGGUGGCCCCAGGCUCCCCGAUGGGGCCGGAGGAUCCAAACGCUGCUCUGGGCGCCCCUGCGCACCCUGUCCCCGUGCCACCCGCAGCAGGACCCGGACCCGCGAUGCUCCACCAGCCCUGGGGAGCCGUGCUCGGCCCUGCCUGGACACUUCCCCGCUGCGGGGCUGGAAGGGGAGGGCGUUUCUGGAGCAUUAAAGAUCAACUGUUUGCGAGUCCGGCCAAUCCCCGUCGUCGUGAGCAGCACCAAAGGAGGCCAGCGGGAUGCGGCUGGUCAAAUGCUUUGCGCAUGAACAUCAUCUCUCACCCCCUCGAGUAUUUGCAGACCUGGGAGCGUUUCCUGCUGCUCCCCGGUGCCGCCGCCCGCACGGGAUCCCCGCACCCUUCGGGGCAGGGCACAAGCCCCCAGCAGCGCGGCGCGCUCGGCCGUGCAAACGGGAAUGGAUUCGCCCGGCCAGCAGUCAAAGAGCGGCGCGAGAUAAUGAGAAAGCGCAGGCGGGGGUGGUGGUGGUGGGGAGCUGGGUGGGAAGGGGGACUUUUAUUCUCCAGGGUUUGUUGGUUGUUGGUUUUUUUUUUUGCAGUCUCCAUUCACCAUAUUUAG
RNAcentral lists this long non-coding RNA (1002 nucleotides) under Anser cygnoides (Swan goose). Its description in RNAcentral is "lncRNA (ENSACDG00005014897.1)". The record is from RNAcentral. Lineage: Eukaryota; Metazoa; Chordata; Aves; Anseriformes; Anatidae.